This 88-nucleotide transfer RNA is filed under the name Nonomuraea spiralis. Its description in RNAcentral is "tRNA-Ser". It matches the Rfam family "tRNA". Rfam says of the family: Transfer RNA (tRNA) molecules are approximately 80 nucleotides in length. Their secondary structure includes four short double-helical elements and three loops (D, anti-codon, and T loops). Lineage: Bacteria; Bacillati; Actinomycetota; Actinomycetes; Streptosporangiales; Streptosporangiaceae. RNAcentral also lists the same sequence under 10 other names. The record is from RNAcentral.
GGAGGAUUCGCCUAGUGGCCGAGGGCGCACGCUUGGAAAGCGUGUAAAGGGCAACCUUUCAGGGGUUCAAAUCCCCUAUCCUCCGCCA